RNAcentral lists this unclassified non-coding RNA (387 nucleotides) under soil metagenome. Its description in RNAcentral is "partial contains 5.8S ribosomal RNA, internal transcribed spacer 2, and large subunit ribosomal RNA". The stretch from base 1 to 120 matches the Rfam family "5.8S ribosomal RNA", at positions 35 to 154 of the family's 154-position model. The record is from RNAcentral.
GAUGAAGAACGCAGCGAAAUGCGAUAAGUAAUGUGAAUUGUAGAAUUCAGUGAAUCAUCGAAUCUUUGAACGCACCUUGCACCCUUUGGCAUUCCGAAGGGUAUGCUCGUUUGAGUGUCAUUGUACUCUCACACUCUCCGAUCCUAUGGAUUCGGGGAGCGGUGGACUUGGGUGUUGCUGCCUUUCCUUGUGGCUCACCUCAAAUGCGUCAGUGCACCUCUUGGUUGGACAUAGUACGGCGUGAUAAGUGUCUCCGCCGGCACCUCGCAAGAGGGUGGCCGAUCGGGAGCUCUGCGCUUUCAAACCGUCUUCGGACAAUUUCUGACAACUUGACCUCAAAUCGAGUAGGACUACCCGCUGAACUUAAGCAUAUCAAUAAGCGGAGGA